Molecule: long non-coding RNA, 1693 nt
Filed under: Canis lupus familiaris (dog)
Lineage: Eukaryota; Metazoa; Chordata; Mammalia; Carnivora; Canidae
Description: lncRNA (ENSCAFG00000056369.1)
Source: RNAcentral
AGGUGAAGUAAGUUUCGGUGAGUCCAGACUUGCCUACCACAGAGGCUUUGGAUGAUGUGUUCGGUUCUCAGAUGGCAUAUUUCAGGCGAAGUGCUCAUUUGUGCUUUGAGCGCUCAUACUGGAAUGAAAGCACAUGAAUUCAAGUGGCUUGGAAGUAAUUUUGAAUUUUUUCACAUGCAACAGAAGAAAAUGAAAAGAAAUCUGAGCCAUUUGCACACUAAUUGCAUUUCAUUGUUAAGGCGAAGGUGAUAAGAUCUCAGAACAGAGGCUCAGAGGCAAAGGGAGACUUCCCUGGAGCCAGCACUAACAUGGCCAGGGACAAGCAGGAGGAGUUACUCCAUUCCACUCGACAGAGUUUACUUGAGCUGUGCAGAAGGGUCCCGCAGUGCUUGUUGACAAGACUGUCACAUUGUAAGGAAAUGAGAUAGCUAGUAUUUCAAAUUACUGAAGUUGGGAAAUGAGCUCCUUUUUGGAACCCAAAGCCAUGAGCUAAUGGAAUAUUCCAGUUGAAGUACAGAAUGCUAGCUUACAAGUCUCCCUCAUCUGGCUUUGUUAGUACCCUCCAGCAAGGCUGGAGAAAGGCAAUAAACCCCUGAGAUAACUGGAUGCCAACCCAGGAUCUUCAGGCUCAAGAGAUGUUUUAGCGGUUCUAGGGAAGACAUUAGGAGAGAAGACUGUGAUGGAAGAAAUGAAACUCUAGGUGAGUUCAGCAGCUUUCCAGAUCCACAGAACUAGCACUGAACAUGCCAUGGACUGGCCUCUAAAACACUUGGUCAUCAAGAUUCUCCAAAAUCCCCAAGUAAAAUCCUUAAUUUGUAAUGGAAGUCAAGGGGCGCCUGGCUUUCUCAGUUGGUAGAAUGCAGCUCUUGAUCUCAGAGUUGUCAGUUUGAGCCCCAUGUUGGGUGUAGCGAUUACUUAAAAAUCUUAAGAAAUAAGAGUGUAAAUGGAGGUCAGAACAUGCAGGAUUGGUUUGAGAGAAAUUUUCUCUGCAAGAAUGCAUAAAUUCCUUGAAAUAGUGUAAUGAUCUGAACACCAGCACACUUAAGCAUGCACAAAAAACAGAUGAGUGUGUGGCUUUUGGAGAUUACAUAGGCUUUCAAAGGAUAACAAACAUCUUGACUAGUCCUAGACUGAUUAGUGAUGAUAUUCAGGACCCACCCCUACUGCCAUCCCUUACUUUCUUUUCAUGUCAAUGUUUGCUAACAUUUCUAGUUUCUCCAGGACCCUACCUUAAAUCCUUAAGGCUAACUUAUUUUCCUUUCCUCCAAAGAGAGACCUGUGCGUUGCCUGGAAAUGGCAUUGAACUAGCAAAAGUAGUGGAUUCUAUACUAGUUCUUCAAUAGAGUAGCUGCAUGAGCCUUGGGCAAGUCAUUCAAACUCUUGGGAACUGUGAAAUGAAGGUCCCUCUCAACUCUGAAACUGGAUUCCUUCAAUUCCAUGGGCUCUCUAGGUCCCAUCCUGUGGAGUUCUCAUUCCUGAGACAUCCCUAUAGUGUCUACCAGAAACAGUUGGUGAGCCAAGAUCUUUGGCAGCUGUACAACUGCUCAGAGCCUGAAGCUCCUCAUCUGUAAAAUGGGGAGAGUGCUGUCUGAGCACAUUGAUAGAGGACUCAAUGGGCAUAUAUAAAUAUAGCUCAGAACAGUGCCAGAUUUACAGAAAGCACUAAAAUGUUUGCUAUAAUUAACACAUCCUC